Molecule: ribosomal RNA, 460 nt
Filed under: uncultured bacterium
Lineage: Bacteria
Description: partial 16S ribosomal RNA
Rfam family: Bacterial small subunit ribosomal RNA
Source: RNAcentral
CCUACGGGAGGCAGCAGUGAGGAAUAUUGGUCAAUGGGCGCGAGCCUGAACCAGCCAAGUAGCGUGAAGGAUGACUGCCCUACGGGUUGUAAACCUCUUUUAUAAAGGAAUAAAGUGAGGCACGAGUGCCUUUUUGUAUGUACUUUACGAAUAAGGAUCGGCUAACUCCGUGCCAGCAGCCGCGGUAAUACGGAGGAUCCGAGCGUUAUCCGGAUUUAUUGGGUUUAAAGGGAGCGUAGAUGGGUUGGUAAGUCAGUUGUGAAAGUUUGCGGCUCAACCGUAAAAUUGCAAUUGAUACUGGCAGCCUUGAGUACAGUUGAGGUAGGCGGAAUUCGUGGUGUAGCAGUGAAAUGCUUAGAUAUCGCGAAGAACACCGAUUGCGAAGGCAGGUUACUAAACAGCCACUGACAUUGAUGCUCGAAGGUGUGGGUAGCAAACAGGAUUAGAUACCCUAGUAGUC